UGGGGAAUAUUGGACAAUGGGCGGAAGCCUGAUCCAGCAACGCCGCGUGAGGGAUGACGGCCUUCGGGUUGUAAACCUCUUUCACCAUUGACGAAGCUGCAUUCUUUUGGGUGUGGUGACGGUAGGUGGGGAAGAAGCACCGGCCAACUACGUGCCAGCAGCCGCGGUAAUACGUAGGGUGCGAGCGGUGUCCGGAAUUAUUGGGCGUAAAGGGCUCGUAGGCGGUUUGUCGCGUCGGGAGUGAAAUCAUCUGGCUUAACUGGGUGCUUGCUUUCGAUACGGGCAGACUAGAGGUAUGCAGGGGAGAACGGAAUUCCUGGUGUAGCGGUGAAAUGCGCAGAUAUCAGGAGGAACACCGGUGGCGAAGGCGGUUCUCUGGGCAUGAUCUGACGCUGAGGAGCGAAAGUGUGGGGAGCGAACAGG
This 423-nucleotide ribosomal RNA is filed under the name uncultured bacterium. RNAcentral describes it as "bacterial SSU rRNA". It matches the Rfam family "Bacterial small subunit ribosomal RNA", at positions 355 to 776 of the family's 1533-position model. The record is from RNAcentral.